This 253-nucleotide ribosomal RNA is filed under the name uncultured bacterium. RNAcentral describes it as "partial 16S ribosomal RNA". It matches the Rfam family "Bacterial small subunit ribosomal RNA", at positions 524 to 776 of the family's 1533-position model. The record is from RNAcentral. RNAcentral also lists the same sequence under 1 other name.
GACGGAGGAUGCAAGUGUUAUCCGGAAUCACUGGGCGUAAAGCGUCUGUAGGUGGUUCGAAAAGUCCACUGUUAAAGAUUGAGGCUUAACUUCAAAAAUGCCGUGGAAACUUUCAAACUAGAGUAUGGUAGGGGUAGAGGGAAUUUCCAGUGGAGCGGUGAAAUGCGUAGAUAUUGGAAAGACCACCGAUGGCGAAGGCACUCUACUGGGCCAUUACUGACACUGAGAGACGAAAGCUAGGGGAGCAAAUGGG